RNAcentral lists this ribosomal RNA (440 nucleotides) under uncultured bacterium. RNAcentral describes it as "partial 16S ribosomal RNA". It matches the Rfam family "Bacterial small subunit ribosomal RNA", at positions 338 to 795 of the family's 1533-position model. The record is from RNAcentral.
CCUACGGGCGGCAGCAGUAGGGGAUAUUGCACAAUGGGGGAAACCCUGAUGCAGCGACGCCGCGUGUGGGAAGACGGUCCCGUGGAGUGUAGACCACUGUCCCCAGGGACGAAGAUGACGGUACCUGGGGAGGAAGCUCCGGCUAACUACGUGCCAGCAGCCGCGGUAAUAGGUAGGGAGCGAGGGUUGUCCGGAAUUACUGGGGGAAAAGGGAGCGUAGGCGGGACAGUAAGUUGGGGGUAAAAUCUACCGGCCCAACCGGUAGCCGCACUCAAAACUGCAGUUCUUGAGUGAGGUAGAGGAAGGCGGAAGUCCUGGUGUAGCGGUGAAAUGCGUAGAUAUUAGGAGGAACACCAGUGGCGAAGGCGGCCUGCUGGGCUUUUACUGACGCUGAGGCUCGAAAGUGAGGGUAGCAAACAGGAUUAGAUACCCGAGUAGUC